AUGAAUAAGUUCACAAGCGCGCACACGGCAUUAUAACGAACGACUCGUGAGAACAACUUUACCUCAGCGUCGCUUAGCAACCAUCAUUUCCGUGAAGUUAUUUUAAAUUUAACGUUAGAAGGACGAAAAUAAACGUGUCAACGCAAACAUUUCGCUGUAGGUACUUAUGGUACACAGAGCAAGAUAAAGCCUCGCAUGUUUCUCGCACGCGCACAGAAGAUGGCGGGGUGCUGACAGGUUCUGCUAAAGGCCUUGCGGGACUCAUCUUGCUCAAGCACUGUUUUGUGAUGGAUGAUGUUAAUCUCUCAUCAGCAGAGCUAUUUUCGUAUGGCAGAGGAGAACUUGAUCUCCCGGUUGAGUCUGGCCUCUCUCAAGGUUUUUUUCUCUACUCUUAUACACAUACAAAUCUAUAGCUGGACUGUACAGUGCGACAUGCAUGUCGUACAUGUUACAAAAAAAUCGGUCUGUGCGCAGAAUACAUUUAAUACUGUAGGACACAUGCGUUACAGAGUUGGAGAUGCAUUAGACAGAACUUUCAAUAAUACCAUGUGUCUUUAUACCAUACACUCUCUAUUUUUCCUCUUUUAUUAUCAUUUUUAUAAUUAUGAUGUAUGUAAAGCUGCUUUGCAACAAUGAAAAUUGUGAAAAGCACUAUAUAAAUAAAAUUGAAUGAAGUUAAACAGAAGAGCCAGACUGAUGUUUUCUCCGUAUCAUCUUAAAGUCUCAAAAUGUUAAAUAUCUAACCUUGAUCUAUUUUUAUAUGAAUACAGAGAUGUGUCGAACAUUAACAUACCCAAAAUUCAUGGAGAAAAAACCUGAACACAUCAAUGCAGACAGCUCCACAAAACAGUCUCAAUCUCCAUAUGCAUGAUUCCAACGGAGUCUAAAAACAUGCGCAUGGCCUCGAUUUCAAAGCACAAAAUCAUUUUCUACUCCAUCAUCACGGCAACACAG
This is a long non-coding RNA of Triplophysa dalaica, 954 nucleotides long. RefSeq lists it as uncharacterized. Lineage: Eukaryota; Metazoa; Chordata; Actinopteri; Cypriniformes; Nemacheilidae. The record is from RefSeq and is a predicted model, not a curated record. The transcript has 3 exons.